Molecule: long non-coding RNA, 201 nt
Filed under: Nicotiana benthamiana
Lineage: Eukaryota; Viridiplantae; Streptophyta; Magnoliopsida; Solanales; Solanaceae
Description: long non-coding RNA (NBEN_LNC031857)
Source: RNAcentral
AAAAAACCACCCUUUACGGCGGCUCCACUACAAAAACAACAAGAUACUCAACCUGUAACUACACUUCAUCUCUUGAAGAACCGUUCCCUAAAAGAACCGCCACUAACACCCCCCAUCACGCCCAGAUCUCUGGAGCGUGGACAACAUAAAUGGGGGCCCAACAUCGGUAACAAUAAUUGGGAUGGGCCUGGCUCUGAUACC